This 110-nucleotide transfer RNA is filed under the name Plectosphaerella cucumerina. It matches the Rfam family "tRNA". From Rfam's summary of the family: Transfer RNA (tRNA) molecules are approximately 80 nucleotides in length. Their secondary structure includes four short double-helical elements and three loops (D, anti-codon, and T loops). Lineage: Eukaryota; Fungi; Ascomycota; Sordariomycetes; Glomerellales; Plectosphaerellaceae. The record is from Rfam by way of RNAcentral.
GGCGAGAUGGCCGAGUGGUCUAAGGCGCUAGUUUCAGGAGAAGGGUCCCUCGGGAUCUUGAUCAAGCCUACUAGUCAGUAAUGGCGUGGGUUCGAAUCCCACUCUCGUCA